Molecule: non-coding RNA, 392 nt
Organism: Picea glauca (white spruce)
Lineage: Eukaryota; Viridiplantae; Streptophyta; Pinopsida; Pinales; Pinaceae
Source: Rfam
UGAAGUGGGGAAAUGUUCCAUGUGAACAUCACUUGGACAUGGCCAGUUAGUCGAUACUAAGAGAUGGGGAAUCCUUGUAUCAAGGGUGCACUCUGCAUGAACAUCGAAAUAUAAUUGGGUUAAUAUUCCCAAGCCGGGACAUGGUUGUGGACGACAAUGUUACGAAAUCUGGAGAUGUCAUCAGGGGCCUGGGAAGAGUUAUCUUUUCUUUUUAAUGACUUUACCACCUUGAAAUUGGUUCAACUGGAGAUAGCGUCCAACAUCCGAAAGAGAACCACACAUAUUGCGAUGUUUGGUUCCCCCUUGAUAGCCAUUGUAAAUAUGGUGAAACGAGUACCAUCCAUGCUCGAUUGUACUCAUAUCUGCCUCCUUGGAUUUUUCAAUGUCCACUA